This 253-nucleotide ribosomal RNA is filed under the name uncultured bacterium. RNAcentral's name for it is "partial 16S ribosomal RNA". It matches the Rfam family "Bacterial small subunit ribosomal RNA", at positions 524 to 776 of the family's 1533-position model. The record is from RNAcentral.
UACAGAGGUCUCAAGCGUUGUUCGGAUUCAUUGGGCGUAAAGGGUGCGUAGGCGGCGCGGUAAGUCGGGUGUGAAAUCUUGGAGCUUAACUCCGAAACUGCAUUCGAUACUGCCGUGCUUGAGGACUGGAGAGGAGACUGGAAUUUACGGUGUAGCGGUGAAAUGCGUAGAGAUCGGGAGGAACACCGGUGGCGAAGGCGGGUCUCUGGGCAAUUCCUGACGCUGAGGCGCGAAAGCGUGGGGAGCGAACAGG